UGUUUCAUGAGCAUACUAUAUGAGAUAACUCUGCCCAGUGAAUAAAUAUUUCAACGGCCGCGGUAUCCUGACCGUGCAAAGGUAGCACAAUAAUGAGCCCUCUAAUUAAGGGAUGGAAUGAAAGAACCAACGAGAAAAUAACUGUCUCUUUAUUACAAGAGAAAAUUUAUAUACAGGUGAAAAAGCCUGAAUUAAAAACAAAGACAAGAAGUCCCUAGAAGCUUUUAAAUACCAUAAAACUCUUAUUUCAAGUGUUUUUUUGCUGGGGCGACAAAAAGAGAAAAACACUUUUACUAAAAAAGAUAUAAUCCAUCUAUAAAAACAGCUAAACACACUCAAGCAAGUUACUCUAGGGAUAACAGGCUAAUACUUUCUGAGAGUACGCAUUGACGAAAGUGCUUGGCACCUCGAUGUUGGCUUAGGGUCUCUAUUUCACGCAAAAGUGAAAACAAGAGGGUUUGUUCAACCUUUAAAUCCCU
This 479-nucleotide ribosomal RNA is filed under the name Syllis amica. Its description in RNAcentral is "partial 16S ribosomal RNA". It matches the Rfam family "Bacterial large subunit ribosomal RNA", at positions 1829 to 2597 of the family's 2925-position model. The record is from RNAcentral. Lineage: Eukaryota; Metazoa; Annelida; Polychaeta; Phyllodocida; Syllidae.